UGCUGUUCUAGAAAUGGAAUCUUAACAGA
This 29-nucleotide non-coding RNA is filed under the name Rattus norvegicus (Norway rat). Lineage: Eukaryota; Metazoa; Chordata; Mammalia; Rodentia; Muridae. The record is from RNAcentral.